AAGCUGAGAUAAUCCUGGGGAACAUCAUCAAGAAAAAGUGCUGGAGGAGAUCCAGUCUGGUGAUCACCACCAAGCUCUACUGGGGUGGAAAAGCCGAAACCGAGAGAGGACUCAACAGGAAGCACAUCAUUGAAGGU
This is a long non-coding RNA of Salvelinus sp. IW2-2015, 137 nucleotides long. RefSeq lists it as uncharacterized. Lineage: Eukaryota; Metazoa; Chordata; Actinopteri; Salmoniformes; Salmonidae. The transcript is spliced from 3 exons. The record is from RefSeq and is a predicted model, not a curated record.